Molecule: ribosomal RNA, 492 nt
Filed under: uncultured bacterium
Lineage: Bacteria
Description: partial 16S ribosomal RNA
Rfam family: Bacterial small subunit ribosomal RNA
Source: RNAcentral
AGUGAACGCUGGCGGUAGGCCUAACACAUGCAAGUCGAACGGCAGCACAGUAAGAGCUUGCUCUUACGGGUGGCGAGUGGCGGACUGGUGCGGAAUACAUCGGAAUCUACUUUUUCGUGGGGGAUAACGUAGGGUAACUUACGCUAAUACCGCAUACGACCUACGGGUGAAAGCAGGGGAUCUUCGGGCCUUGCGCGAUUGGAUCAGCCGAUGUCGGAUUAGCUAGUUGGCGGGGUAAAGGCCCACCAAGGCGACGAUCCGUAGCUGGUCUGAGAGGAUGAUCAGCCACACUGGAACUGAGACACGGUCCAGACUCCUACGGGAGGCAGCAGUGGGGAAUAUUGGACAAUGGGCGCAAGCCUGAUCCAGCCAUACCGCGUGGGUGAAGAAGGCCUUCGGGUUGUAAAGCCCUUUUGUUGGGAAAGAAAAGCAGCAGGUUAAUACCCGGCUGUUCUGACGGUACCUAAAGAAUAAGCACCGGCUAACUUCGUG